GAUGAACGCUGGCGGCGUGCCUAAUACAUGCAAGUCGAGCGAACAGAUGAGGAGCUUGCUCCUCUGACGUUAGCGGCGGACGGGUGAGUAACACGUGGAUAACCUACCUAUAAGACUGGGAUAACUUCGGGAAACCGGAGCUAAUACCGGAUAAUAUAUUGAACCGCAUGGUUCAAUAGUGAAAGACGGUUUUGCUGUCACUUAUAGAUGGAUCCGCGCCGCAUUAGCUAGUUGGUAAGGUAACGGCUUACCAAGGCAACGAUGCGUAGCCGACCUGAGAGGGGGAUCGGCCACACUGGAACUGAGACACGGUCCAGACUCCUACGGGAGGCAGCAGUAGGGAAUCUGCCGCAAUGGGCGAAAGCCUGACGGAGCAACGCCGCGUGAGUGAUGAAGGUCUUCGGAUCGUAAAACUCUGUUAUUAGGGAAGAACAAAUGUGGAAGUAACUAUGCACGUCUUGACGGUACCUAAUCAGAAAGCCACGGCUAACUACGUG
RNAcentral lists this ribosomal RNA (497 nucleotides) under uncultured bacterium. RNAcentral describes it as "partial 16S ribosomal RNA". It matches the Rfam family "Bacterial small subunit ribosomal RNA", at positions 28 to 507 of the family's 1533-position model. The record is from RNAcentral.